UUUAAUUUCUCUCUCAAACCCAGAGGCAAGGCUAAGGUCAAGCAACCAUAUGAAUCUUUUCAGAAUUCCAAUAAUAAGGAAGUUUAGCAUUAGGUUUUUUUAAUCCUCUUUAAGUUUUCAUCUCAGAUCAAAUCAUAUUACUCCCUCCGUCCCAUUUUAUGUGGCAUCAUUUUCUUUUUGGUUAGUCCCAAAAAGAAUGUCACAUUUUCUUAUAUGAUAAAUAAUUAAAGGUACAAUUCCUUUUUUACCCUUGUUGGUCCCACUUAAUCUUAAAAUAAUAUUCCAAUACAUUUAUGAGGAGAAAGAAAAGUGAGUCUACUUUUUAAAGGGCAAUUUGAUAAACAUUUCAAAGUCUUCAUUUAUUUCUUAAACUCUGUGUCCGGUCAAAUGUUGCCACAUAAAAUGGGACGGAGGGAGUACUAUUUUGAGCUUAGUCAAUUUAUUAGGGUGUACAAGGCUUUGGUGACUGAAUGAGACUCGUACGGCCUUCCGUUGAGCUACUACUCGAUCAGGUCUAAUCCUAUUCACUUUUCUCUUCUUAUGUUUUACUUAGAAAUUAUUCGUAUUUCUCGUUUAGAUUAUAUCAACUGGGAGUGGGAAUUUACAACUGGAAGUGGAAAUUUACAGAUGUUAGAUUGUUUUGACUUUUGUUAUAAUCAAUUGUUGAACUUUCUCACAAGAUGUUAGUUCUGUGUUUGGAUUAAGAAUAUGGAUUUUGAUACCUACUUCCUUUGUUUAAAAAAAAGAUGCCUCUUUACGUUUUUUUGCAACUCUUUAAUUUUCAAUUUCCACAUAACAUGUUUAACACCACGAUAUUAAAGGACAUUUUGAUACAUUCUACAUAUUUCUUCCUUUCUUAAACUUCGUAACAAUUUGAAAUGAAGAACAUAUAUGAUAUUGCUUUAUUCCUUUCUACGCAAAUCAGGGAUGGUUGGUUUUAGCAAGAUAAAAUUUGGUUCAAACUUUUGAGCUAAAAUCGUGAGCUGUGAUAAGAGUUUUGCGUUGUACGAUGAUUUUAUUUUGUUCAACGAGUUCACUAAAAGUAGAACGUUUAGAUUCCUGCACCAUAGAGAUUUUGCAUGAACAAAAAAAACGUUUUAAGUGUGUUACUACUUGCUAGAAGUAUCUGCAUUGUCUCACUGCUGAUUAAGAAUUAUGAUUUGAAAAAACGGUUCUUUCUCACUAAAAGCUAUCACUUUCCUGUAAUUUUUUGCCACUACUUUAAUUUAUUUAAUAGUGUUCUUGUUUUGGUCAGGGGAAGGAAGUUGAGUUUGUUGUUUGAGCAUUAUUUUCAUCGUGGUGUUAUCCCUCCACCAAAUAUCUGUCAUGUUUGCCCAACUUUUCUGAGCUUUCUCCCGCCUCUUUUUUGGUCUCUCUCUUGGUUUGUUUUCUUUGGAUUAUGAAGUCACGAUCUUUUUUUUCUCACUCAGACAUGGUCUGUAGUAUCUUCAUCUAAACAGCUUCAUAUUAUCAGCAACAAUAUGGAUACUCGAAGCUGUUUUCAAAAGGGAGAUUUUGAGGUUUUAAAUGAAUGGCUUGCAAAUACUAAUCUUUGUUCCAUUUAAGGUAUCAUCACCUUCUCCCCAUAAGCUACUUCUAUUUUCAUUGGUUCCCUUAUUUGUUAGAAGUAUUACCUUGUUUGCAGCUUGUCACUAGAACAUAAUGAAUAUAGGACUUUUCAAAAUCAACUUAACAAAGCUAAAAACAUGAAGGCAUGUACUUCUUCCCCUUAGCAAGUAUAUGAGUCUCUCUGAUUAUAGAUAGAUACCUUUGCAAUUCUAACUAAUAUUAUCUAAAAGACUUAAUGUUUAAGCAAAUUAGAACGGUCAAACAAAUGUAUUUGUAAUUCCGUAAAUGUGGUUGUGGAGUGUGUUUCACAAAUGAGCUAUGCCACCUUAUCCAAUGAAAUAAAGGACCCCUAAGGUUAUUAUGGUCCUUGAUAAUUUGUGGAUUAUAGAGAAUGGUGAGAACCGUAUACCUCACUCUCUACAUUUGGAUCGUCUUUUUUGGAUGGUAAUUUUAAUAACAUUUGGAGUUCUUAUUGGUUUUGCACAUUGUAUUUUUUUAGCAGUGUACCAUUUAUAAUUCGACAAUUUGGAGCUUAAAUUAAAUGCCUUAUUUCAUUCGUGGUGAUCAUGUUAAGAUUCUUGUUAAAUUGUUGCAAUCGCACCACAAACCAAGAGAAAGACUUCUCGAACUGAACAACCUUCGUGGUGAAAUGGUCUUCUAUUAUGGCAGGGGCUAGGGAUCACAGUAUUUGGAACGGCAUACAUGUC
This 2276-nucleotide long non-coding RNA is filed under the name Solanum tuberosum (potato). RNAcentral's name for it is "long non-coding RNA (STUB_LNC000495)". Lineage: Eukaryota; Viridiplantae; Streptophyta; Magnoliopsida; Solanales; Solanaceae. The record is from RNAcentral.